Molecule: ribosomal RNA, 576 nt
Filed under: Aureobasidium namibiae
Lineage: Eukaryota; Fungi; Ascomycota; Dothideomycetes; Dothideales; Saccotheciaceae
Description: eukaryotic LSU rRNA
Rfam family: Eukaryotic large subunit ribosomal RNA
Source: RNAcentral
GGAUGGCCAUGCCGUAGUACGGCGAGUGAGCGGCAACAGCUCAAAUUUGAAAGCUAGCCUUCGGGUUCGCAUUGUAAUUUGUAGAGGAUGCUUUGGGUAAAACGCCAGUCUAAGUUCCUUGGAACAGGACGUCAUAGAGGGUGAGAAUCCCGUAUGUGACUGGAAAUGUUAACCUAUGUAAAGCUCCUUCGACGAGUCGAGUUGUUUGGGAAUGCAGCUCUAAAUGGGAGGUAAAUUUCUUCUAAAGCUAAAUAUUGGCGAGAGACCGAUAGCGCACAAGUAGAGUGAUCGAAAGAUGAAAAGCACUUUGGAAAGAGAGUUAAAAAGCACGUGAAAUUGUUGAAAGGGAAGCGCUUGCAAUCAGACUUGUUUAAACUGUUCGGCCGGUCUUCUGACCGGUUUACUCAGUUUGGACAGGCCAGCAUCAGUUUCGGCGGCCGGAUAAAGGCUCUGGGAAUGUGGCCUCCACUUCGGUGGAGGUGUUAUAGCCCAGUGUGUAAUACGGCCAGCCGGGACUGAGGUCCGCGCUUCGGCUAGGAUGCUGGCGUAAUGGUUGUAAGCGACCCGUCUUAACAC